GACGAACGCUGGCGGCGUGCUUAACACAUGCAAGUCGAACGAAGAGCGAUGGAAGCUUGCUUCUAUCAAUCUUAGUGGCGAACGGGUGAGUAACGCGUAAUCAACCUGCCCUUCAGAGGGGGACAACAGUUGGAAACGACUGCUAAUACCGCAUACGAUCCGACCUCGGCAUCGAGGAUUGAUGAAAGGUUGUCUCUAUUUAUAAGCUAUCACUGAAGGAGGGUAUUGCGCCUGAUUAGCUAGUUGGGGGGGUAACGGCCCACCAAGGCAAUGAUUAGUAGCCGACCUGAGAGGUUGACCGGCCACAUUGGAACUGAGACACGGCCCAGACUCCUACGGGAGGCAGCAGUGGGGAAUCUUCCGCAAUGGGCGAAAGCUUGACGGAGCAACGCCGCGUGAGUGAUGAAGGCCUUCGGAUGGUAAAACUCUGUAAUCGGGACGAAAGGUAUUCUUGCGAAUAGUUAGAAGAAUUGACGGUACCGAAAUAGAAAGCCACGGCUAACUACGUG
RNAcentral lists this ribosomal RNA (509 nucleotides) under uncultured bacterium. Its description in RNAcentral is "partial 16S ribosomal RNA". It matches the Rfam family "Bacterial small subunit ribosomal RNA", at positions 28 to 507 of the family's 1533-position model. The record is from RNAcentral.